This 254-nucleotide ribosomal RNA is filed under the name uncultured bacterium. Its description in RNAcentral is "partial 16S ribosomal RNA". It matches the Rfam family "Bacterial small subunit ribosomal RNA", at positions 524 to 776 of the family's 1533-position model. The record is from RNAcentral.
UACGUAGGGUGCAAGCGUUAAUCGGAAUUACUGGGCGUAAAGCGUGCGCAGGCGGUUUUGUAAGUUUGUCGUGAAAUCCCCGGGCUCAACCUGGGAAUGGCGAUGAAGACUGCAAGGCUAGAAUCUGGCAGAGGGGGGUAGAAUUCCACGUGUGAGCAGUGAAAUGCGUAGAGAUGUGGAGGAACACCGAUGGCGAAGGCAGCCCCCUGGGUCAAGAUUGACGCUCAUGCACGAAAGCGUGGGGAGCAAAGAGG